UUCCCAGGCUAGGGGUCAAAUCAGAGUUAUAGCUGCUGGCCUACACCACAGUCACAGCAACGUGGGAUCCGAACAACAUCUGUGACCUGUAUACCACAGCUCCUUAACCCACUGAGUGAGGCCAGGGAUUGAACCUGCAUCCUCAUGGAUCCUAGUUGGGUUCGUUAACUGCUGAGCCAUGAGGAGAACUCCUCAGAAAGACAAGGCUGAUGAAAUAUCACUGUGUCUGGUAAUGGCCAGUUUCCUCAAGGAAGGUGUGAAUCACUAGCACCAGCACUGUCCUCAAAUGCAGUACAAAGCACUUGGAUAAUUAUAUUUUCAUGUCAGUAAAAACACCAUCCACCCAAUGAUCUUACGUCUACUUUAGAGUUAGAGCACUUCUACGGUAUUAUUGCAGUAUUACUCUGAAGUGUGGUAUUCAGCAGUAGCCAUUAAAGUAGCAGAGCUGUGAUUGAAUAAUCUCCAUGGGUCUAUUAGUUCCCUAAAGCUGCUACAACAAAGUACCACAAAUCAUAUGACUUAAGCAACAGGAAUUUCUUGUCUCUCAGUUCUGGAAACUAGAGGUCAGAGAUCAGUAUGUCGGUGGAGUUGGUUGAUUGGUUCCUGCUGAGAGCUGUGAGGGGGGAACUGUUCCCUCUCCCCUGGCUUCAAGUGGUUUGCUGGCCAUCUUUGGCAUCUCUUGGCUUGUACAUGAUCCCCCAGUCUUUGCCUUCAUCUUCACGUGGUGUUUUCCAUAUGUGUGUGUGUCCAAAUUUCUCCUUUUUAUAAGGACACCCAUCAUAUUGGAUUAAGUGCCUAUCCUCCCACUAGCAGGACCUCAUUUUAACUAACUGAAUUAGCAAACAAUCUAUUUCCAAAUGAAGUCAUAUUCUAGGCACUGGGAGUUAGGAGUUCAAAAUAUAAAUUUGCGGAGUUCCCAUCAUGGCGCAGCAGAAAUGAAUCUGACUAGAAGCCAUGAGGUGGCAGGUUGGAGCCAUGAGGUGGCAGGUUCGAUCCCUGGCCUUGCUCAGUGGGUUAAGGAUCUGGCAUUGCCGUGAGCCGUGGUGUAAGUCGCAGACGCGGCUUGGAUCCUGUGUUGCUGUGGCUGCUGUGUAGGCUGGCAGCUACAGCUCUGAUUAGACCCCUGGCCUGGGAACCUCCAUAUGUCGUAGGUGCGGCUCUAAAAAGACAAAAGACAAAAUAUACAUGGAUUGGCAGCAGCAAGGGUGGUGUUAGGGGAUGGGACACAAUUUCACUUGUGACAGUGGUAUUAUGGUGAAAGUAGGUCACCUGAAAUCAGAAUCCUUCUUGAAAAGAUGAUUAAAGCAUAGGUAUAGAAGAUAACCUCUGACUGGCUCUUAACUAACUCUCUCUCUCUCUCUCCUGCUAUGCUGCAUGCUUUCCAAAGAGUCUAGAUUUGUUCUAAAUCAAAAGAUUCUUCUUCAAAACAUUUUUUUGCCGAUAGGAAAAAAACAAAGUAUUUACAAAAUACACAUCCUCAAACUUUGCCCAAUAAGUUUUAUUAGAGACCCUCUCUAUUGCUGGCAGUUUUGCUGAUUUUUCCUUUAACCCUCAUAUCCUCAUUGGAUAAUAUAGCAACUCAAAAACAAUUUGAGGGGAGUGCCCGUCGUGGCGCAGUGGUUAACAAAUCCAAAUAGGAUCCCUGGCUUGCUCAGUGGGUUAACAAUCCGUCGUUGCCGUGAGCUGUGGUGUAGGUCACGGACUCGGCUCGGAUCCCACAUUGCUGUGGCUGUCGUGUAGGCCGGUGGCUACAGCUCCAAUGGGACUCCUAGCCUGGGAACCUCCAUAUGCCGCAGGAAGCGGCCCUAGAAAAAGGCAAAAAGAAAAAAAUAAAAUAAAAAUAAAAAUAAACUAUUUGAAUGAGGAUCUAGAGAGGAAAGGACUUUCCUUCUUUGCUUCACAUAUUCAUUCCACAAAUGGUUUUGAGGACCACUCUUGAGGAUGUGAUCUUGCAGAUUCUUUUUUUUGAAUGAUUUUUAUUUUUUCCAUUAUAGUUGGUUUACAGUGUUCUGUCAAUUUUCUACUCUACAGCAAAGUGACCCAGGCACGUUUACAUAUAUACAUUCUUUUUCUUGCAUUAUCUUCCAUCAUAAGGGACCAGAUAUAGUUCCCAGUGCUAUACAGCAGGGUCUCAUUGCUUAUCCAUUCCAAAGGCAAUAGUUUAAGGAUAAAAACACAAAGAAGACUUGACUCUCCUCACUAUGGAGGCUUGUACUCUAGCGGUAAAGCCAAAUAAAGAUACCCUUCUCAAAUAAAGAUAGCCUUUUGAAUUGGAAUUUAAUUUAGAAAAAAUUUUACCAUUCUACAAAGCAACAUGAGAUUUUACACAGUAACAACAGCAACAAAAUUUUAAGGAGGAAAACAAGGCAGUUGUUCAUGUUUGAUUCUGACCAGAUGCUCAGAACUAGAUCCCUUUUCCUGAAAAUUGUUCGAUGGUCACCUGCAUGCAUCCUUAGGCUCCUCUAGGAAUAAGGUACCUGAUCAUGACUCGUGCAGAUGAUUUAUUACAGACAGCUUUUCCAUUAUUUGCAUUUUAGAUGUUUUAGUGGCACUUUCUGUAUAUCAACUGUGUUUUAAUUGCAGAUAAAAUAGUUAAAGGUAUCAAAAUAAACCAAUAACUAAAGGCUAUUGCUCUUUCUCGAGUUCUUGAGAAAAAUUCAGAGAUACACAGUUCAUACCCACAAUCUAGUGGGCAAAGUUCUGAUUGCCCAAUAGGCUACAUAAUAAAACCCAAGCCAAAUUCAGUAACUGAGAAGCUUUUGUAAUCUUAAAGGCACAAGGGGCUUAAUCCAAUAUGCCUGCAAUGUCCGUGUCCCUCUAACCCCAUCAUAACGGCCUAAGCAACUACUUUCAGUGCAAAAUUUCCCCUUGAUGAUUCUUUUACUUAAACACCACUUGUCUGCAAUUUGGAAAAGUGAGUGAAAGCCAUGGGAAACUAUGUGUUUGCUUUUGCCUCAUAUGCUUGUUGAGAUGAAAAGACAACAAAAUCAUAGCAAACACAUAAAUAGAGUUCACUGGAUACAAGCACCAUUCUAAGUGCUUUGCCAGUAUUAAGAUAUUUAAUCACUGAAAUGGAUUUCCCAUUCUGACACAGUGGAAACGAGAAACAAAUCUGACUAGGAACCAUGAGGUUGCAGGUUCUAUCCCUGGCCUUGCUAAGUGGGUUAAGGAUCCAAUGUUGCUGUGAGGUGUGGUGUAGGUUGCAGAUUCAGCUUGGAUCCCAUGUUGCUAUGGCUGUGGCUUAGCCCAGCAGCUACAGCUCCAAUUGGACCCCUAGCCUGGGAACCUCCAUAUGCCAUGGGUAUGCCCUAAAAAAGCAAAAUGAAUGAAUGAAUGAAUGAAUUUAAUUGAAAUUUUGCUCACAGGUAUCUUCUUGAAUAAUAUUAUUCUAACAUGGCAUUUGAUUGAUUUUAGUUAUGACACAGUUUACUAUCUGCUUGUUUCUUUAAUCUGAUUUUAAGGACACUAGUGUGAGAGUGAGUGCUUUAAGAGAUUUAGAUGAAAAUGCUUCUUAAACCUUUGAGAAGAGCAUUGCCUGUCCACUUUAAUGUCUUUUUGUAAAAUAUAUUAUGCUCUGCAAUUUACCAUCUGUCCAUUUGUGAGUGAGUUAUCAUCUGUGGGUGAGUUAGUAUCUCUCAACUCAGUCAUACAGUAGGAUUAACCUUUUUUUUUUUUUUCCUUUUUUGGGCCUCACCUGUGGCAUAUGGAAGUUCCCAGGCUAUGGGUCGAAUUGGAGCUACAACUGCUGGCCACAGCCACAGCAACACAAGAUCCGAGCCACAUCUGCAACCUAUACCACAGUUCACAGCAAUGCUGGAUCCUUAACCCACUGCGCAAAGCCAGGGAUUGAACCUGAAUCCU
Molecule: long non-coding RNA, 3861 nt
Filed under: Sus scrofa (pig)
Lineage: Eukaryota; Metazoa; Chordata; Mammalia; Artiodactyla; Suidae
Description: lncRNA (ENSSSCG00015042431.1)
Source: RNAcentral